GGGUGAGUAACGCGUGAAGAACUUGCCUCUUAGACUGGGACAACUAUUAGAAAUGAUAGCUAAUACCGGAUAGUAUCAUGUUAUGGCAUCAUAAUAUGAUGAAAGAUAUAUCGCUAAGAGAGAGCUUCGCGUCCCAUUAGCUAGUUGGUAGUGUAAUGGACUACCAAGGUGACGAUGGGUAGCCGGCCUGAGAGGGUGGACGGCCACAAGGGGACUGAGACACGGCCCUUACUCCUACGGGAGGCAGCAGUGGGGAAUAUUGGACAAUGGGCCACGAGCCUGAUCCAGCAAUUCUGUGUGAAUGAAGAAGGCUUUCGGGUCGUAAAGUUCUUUCGGCAGGGAAGAAGAAAGUGACUGUACCUGCAUAAGAAGCGACGGCUAAUUACGUGCCAGCAGCCGCGGUAAUACGUAAGUCGCAAGCGUUAUCCGGAUUUACUGGGCGUAAAGGGCGUCUAGGCGGUUUUUUAAGUCAGAGGUGAAAAGUCAGGGCUCAACCUUGGCCUGGCCUUUGAAACUGGGGAACUAGAGUACGGAAGAGGAGGGUGGAACUACAAGUGUAGCGGUGGAAUGCGUAGAUAUUUGUAGGAAUGCCGAUGAUGAAGAUAGCCCUCUGGGACGAUACUGACGCUAAAGCGCGAAAGCUAGGGUAGCAAACAGGAUUAGAUACCCUGGUAGUCCUAGCUGUAAACGAUGAAUACUGGGUGUUUGCGGUAAUACCGUAAGCGCCGAAGCUAACGCAUUAAGUAUUCCGCCUGGGGAGUACGGUCGCAAGACUAAAACUCAAAGGAAUUGACGGGGACCCGCACAAGCGGUGGAGCAUGUGGUUUAAUUCGAUGCAACGCGAGGAACCUUACCAGGUCUUGAAUCCACUAAAGGAGCUAGAGAUAGCACCGUGCCUCUUUGAGGAAUAGUGAGACAGGUGGUGCAUGGCUGUCGUCAGCUCGUGCCGUGAGGUGUUGGGUUAAGUCCCGCAACGAGCGCAACCCCUACGAUAUGUUACCAUCAUUAAGUUGGGGACUCAUAUUGGACUGCCUGCGAAGAGCAGGAGGAAGGUGGGGAUGACGUCAAGUCAUCAUGCCCUUUAUGACCUGGGCUACACACGUGCUACAAUGGGUAGAACAAAGAGACGCAAGACAGUGAUGUGGAGCAAAUCUGAAAAAACUACUCUCAGUUCGGAUCGUAGUCUGCAACUCGACUACGUGAAGUUGGAAUCGCUAGUAAUCGCGAAUCAGCAACGUCGCGGUGAAUACGUUCUCGGGUCUUGUACACACCGCCCGUCACACCACGAGAGUUGGUUGCACCUGAAGUUACUGGCCUAACCGUAAGGGGGGAGGUACCGAGGGUGUGAUUGAUGAUUGGGGUGAAGUCGGAACAAGGUA
This 1379-nucleotide ribosomal RNA is filed under the name metagenome. Its description in RNAcentral is "bacterial SSU rRNA". It matches the Rfam family "Bacterial small subunit ribosomal RNA". The record is from RNAcentral.